UACGAAGGGGGCUAGCGUUGCUCGGAAUUACUGGGCGUAAAGGGCGCGUAGGCGGUUCUAUAAGUCAGGCGUGAAAUUCCUGGGCUUAACCUGGGGGCUGCGCUUGAGACUGUGGGACUUGAGGUCAGAAGAGGGUCGUGGAAUUCCCAGUGUAGAGGUGAAAUUCGUAGAUAUUGGGAAGAACACCGGUGGCGAAGGCGGCGAUCUGGUCUGAUACUGACGCUGAGGCGCGACAGCGUGGGGAGCAAACAGG
RNAcentral lists this ribosomal RNA (253 nucleotides) under uncultured bacterium. Its description in RNAcentral is "partial 16S ribosomal RNA". It matches the Rfam family "Bacterial small subunit ribosomal RNA", at positions 524 to 776 of the family's 1533-position model. The record is from RNAcentral.